CCUACGGGUGGCAGCAGUGGGGAAUAUUGCGCAAUGUGCGAAAGCCUGACGCAGCGACGCCGCGUGAGGGAUGAAGGUCUUCGGAUCGUAAACCUCUGUCAGCAGGGAAGAAGGGUCACUGUGCUAAUCAGCAGUGAAUUGACGGUACCUGCAAAGGAAGCACCGGCUAACUCCGUGCCAGCAGCCGCGGUAAUACGGAGGGUGCGAGCGUUAAUCGGAAUUACUGGGCGUAAAGCGCUCGUAGGCGGUAUGUCAAGGCAAGGGUGAAAUCCCCGCGCUCAACGUGGGAACUGCAUUUGAAACUGGCAGACUGGAGUGUGUGAGAGGGUAGUGGAAUUCCAGGUGUAGGAGUGAAAUCCGUAGAGAUCUGGAGGAACAUCAGUGGCGAAGGCGACGAUCUGGCACAUAACUGACGCUGAGGAGCGAAAGCGUGGGUAGCAAACAGGAUUAGAUACCCCUGUAGUC
This 465-nucleotide ribosomal RNA is filed under the name uncultured bacterium. Its description in RNAcentral is "partial 16S ribosomal RNA". It matches the Rfam family "Bacterial small subunit ribosomal RNA", at positions 338 to 795 of the family's 1533-position model. The record is from RNAcentral.